GUCAGGGUGGCCGAGUGGUCUAAGGCGCCAGACUCAAGUUCUGGUCCCCGGCCUGGGGGCGUGGGUUCGAAUCCCACUCCUGACA
This is a non-coding RNA of Hypanus sabinus (Atlantic stingray), 85 nucleotides long. The record is from the annotation of a RefSeq genome assembly. Lineage: Eukaryota; Metazoa; Chordata; Chondrichthyes; Myliobatiformes; Dasyatidae.